Molecule: unclassified non-coding RNA, 424 nt
Filed under: Hevea brasiliensis (rubber tree)
Lineage: Eukaryota; Viridiplantae; Streptophyta; Magnoliopsida; Malpighiales; Euphorbiaceae
Source: RNAcentral
GCACAAAUUCUUCAUGCCCACAACCACAGGAAGCGUCCAAAACCCUUCUCCCUCUCUCAUGAUUCCUCCUACUACGUCAAUCCCUUCUUCCUAUCCUUCUCCUACUGGUACCCACCCUAACUUCCCCUUCCAAUUCCCACAGCAAUUCCUCCAUAUCCCUUCGUAUCCACCUCCCCAUAACAACCAAACCCAUACCCAUACCCAGCACCACCCUCCUCCUGUCUCUAACAUGCCACCACAGCGUUCUAUGUCAUAUCCUACACCGCCUCUUCAACCUCAGCCCCAACAGCACCAAAAUCUUUCUCCUCGCAAAAAUAAUGAGCGACGUGGGGCUGAAAUAAUGGCCCUUCUCCGCCCACCUGCUUCUCCGCCACUUAAUCAAGACCCGUCACCAACACCGCCUCAGGAGCAUCAGCAUAGCCCG